UACAGAGGUCCCGAGCGUUGUUCGGAUUCAUUGGGCGUAAAGAGCUUGUAGGCGGUUUGUCGCGUCUGCUGUGAAAAUCCGGGGCUCAACCCCGGACUUGCAGUGGGUACGGGCAGACUAGAGUGUGGUAGGGGAGACUGGAAUUCCUGGUGUAGCGGUGAAAUGCGCAGAUAUCAGGAGGAACACCGAUGGCGAAGGCAGGUCUCUGGGCCACUACUGACGCUGAGAAGCGAAAGCAUGGGGAGCGAACAGG
This 253-nucleotide ribosomal RNA is filed under the name uncultured bacterium. RNAcentral's name for it is "partial 16S ribosomal RNA". It matches the Rfam family "Bacterial small subunit ribosomal RNA", at positions 524 to 776 of the family's 1533-position model. The record is from RNAcentral.